GAAAAUCUUACACAUGAUGGGUACAGCCGACCAGCCCGGAUUAAUCCCGAGACUCUGCAGUGGUCCUUGAAAGAGCACAAGAAAGGAAAACGAAGAACAGAGUUUCAAAGGGAAGUUUUCCUACUUGGAGAUUUAGAAGAAAGUAGAGAUCUCCUUGACCCCAAGGAAGCCGUCAGUCAUUAAAAGUUAGAGAGCACAACGUCUUUGGUCCUUAUGUAGAUGGACUAUCUAAACUGGCUGUCGCCAGCUACAAGGACAUAGAGUCUUUGAUGUCAGAGGGUAACAAAUCUCGAACAGUGGCUUCAACCAAUAUGAAUGAAGAGAGCAGUCGGUCACAUGCAGUCUUCAAGAUCAUCCUCACACACACACUGUAUGAUGUACAAUCAGGGGUAAGUAAUAGUGGGA
Non-coding RNA from Chelonoidis abingdonii (Abingdon island giant tortoise), 405 nucleotides. The record is from RefSeq and is a predicted model, not a curated record. Lineage: Eukaryota; Metazoa; Chordata; Testudines; Testudinidae.